Molecule: ribosomal RNA, 36 nt
Filed under: Cuscuta babylonica
Lineage: Eukaryota; Viridiplantae; Streptophyta; Magnoliopsida; Solanales; Convolvulaceae
Description: partial 26S ribosomal RNA
Source: RNAcentral
GCGAUCCCAGGUCAGUCGGGACUACCCGCUGAGUUU